Panicum virgatum (switchgrass) is the source of this 2092-nucleotide long non-coding RNA. RefSeq lists it as uncharacterized. The record is from RefSeq and is a predicted model, not a curated record. The transcript is spliced from 2 exons. Lineage: Eukaryota; Viridiplantae; Streptophyta; Magnoliopsida; Poales; Poaceae.
CUCACUCCAUUUGAUUCCCCUUAAUUUUGGUCACAUUUUUUCUUUCGUACCGAUGAUUCAUCCAGAUUUAGUUCGAAUUAGGUUAUAAUUUGUUGCAAUCGGUAGCUGCAUCAUGAUUUUCCUUGUUUCAUUAUUCUUUAGUUUUCCCUGCCGUAUUCAUUUCAGUGGGUAUUGCACCUGACACUGUCGAUUUGCUGAAUGGAUUCUCAGCACAGAUUGGUCCACAGAUGCAUAUCAACCCGAGCAAGGUGGUGUUCGAGCAGCUUCCGAUUUGGUUGUCAAUCGGAUUGGCGACGACGGUCACCAGGGAUCCAAUCUCCUCCGCUAUAGCUUGGGGUUCCUUCCCUGGAGCGGCAGUUUAUCUCCGUCGCUUGUGGAUAGUCUGAGGACACAAGGAGCAUAUUCCGUUGGGUCUCCUCUCCAAGACUUCAGAUGCUCCUGGUGCUCCUUGAAAAGCUCGGCUUAAGGCAUGAGAGGUGAGCUCUUACCUAUUGCUGCUUGAUCAUUUUAUGAGUUCUUGUGUUUCCUUAGACAGAGGCAUGCUUAACCUGUUUAACUGAUUUACACUUUUGGUAGUAGUUUUAUAUUAAGUAAUUCUUUUCCCUGUUUAAAAAUUGAAUAAUAACUGGAUUUUUUGUUCUUUUGUGUGGCUAGUGAAGGAGUUUUUUAGUUUAGGUCUGUCACUGUAUUCUAAAUCUACUUCAUAGGGGCAUCUCCAGUGUUCAAAUCAAACUCAACUGAAAAGGUAGUGCCACGGAGGAUUUGUUCGAUUUCUACUGAAUCAAACAUAAUCACAGCAACGCGUUAGGGAUCCAUCAUAUAAUAAAAUACACCAUUUCUAUCUCACCAUCCUCAAGCUGUAGCCUUGAUGAGCACAUUGUACUAGCGCACUACUUUUUGCCCAUUAUUUAACUACCUCGGUUCGACUUGCCUUUAGCAUUUGAUGCAAGUAAUCUUUUGAUUCCGUUUGACCACUGCAGUGUCUAAAUCGAAUCAAAGUUCUGCUCUAUCCUGUCACGGUUCGAUUUCCAUGCACACUGGAGGUGCCCUAAUUCAUGCUUUGUAUGUCUUAUAUGGAGAAAGAAUAUGCAGAAAUGAAGCUCUUCCUUUGUGCUGAUCAUAGCUUUUUACUUAGUAUAUUCAGUCCUUUUCUUUGCCAUUAAAUUAUGAAAUCUCUGGUGCAUGUAUACCUUUGGACCUUGUUUGACCUAAAUAUUUACAUGUUCAUUGCAGCUGAUUAAUACUCGAUUGUUCAUGGAUACUAUUUAUGGGAUGAUGUUAAAGUUUUAAGGUUGCUCACUGUUACUUUGCUUAUGACACCUUGUAGGUUAGAUGGCAUCUAGUAAUCUCUGUUGCUUUAUUUUAGUUUUGAUGGCACUACUGUUAAUAUUGAGCCCCUCUAUACAGCGUCAGCAUGAUUGCAUAAAUGGAAUAAUCAUGGCUAAACUGAAAUGGCUCACCGAAUCUAAGAAUAAAGUAAACAAAAGAUCUGGAAAACUUAAACCAUUAGAUUGGAUUGGAGAAAUUUUUUUCUUAAAAAUACACAGGUGCAUUGCUGCUGCGAUUCGGAUGAAGGAUAUGGUUGGACAAUCAUGGAAAAGCAGGUUGAACUUAGAAAUGGCUGGAAGCACACCAGACUAAGAUCCAGCAGCGCAAUCUGAACUGCAGCGCUUUUUAGGUGCCAAAUAUAUUAAAAUGGCAAUGAGGCCAGUAUAUUAAAAUGUUUUUUUUGCAGAUGUGGUGGACACCACGAUCUCUAUUGACAGUGCCAUCUUUCAGCAGUACCCAUCAUCACCAUCAGGUGUUUAGGGAUAGUUCCCCUUGUUCAUCACUUGAUGGAUUUUGUGCAGAAAGCAUCAGUUGUACAGUAGAUAGAUUCUGAGUUUCAUGUAUGGAUGGUAUGUUUCGAGCCUAUGUGUAUAGAUUCUUAUAAAAAUAUAGUUCGGAGUGUCAGGUGAUGCCAUUUCGACUCCACCUGUGUUUAUGGUAUUUAUGAACCGGCUUAGAAAAAUGUGUGGUGUUUGUAAGAUAAUGAAAUUUUAGCAUCAACAUGUUUUGGUAUAUGAGAUUAGGAAACCAAAACAUUACUGUC